RNAcentral lists this ribosomal RNA (465 nucleotides) under uncultured bacterium. RNAcentral describes it as "partial 16S ribosomal RNA". It matches the Rfam family "Bacterial small subunit ribosomal RNA", at positions 28 to 507 of the family's 1533-position model. The record is from RNAcentral.
GACGAACGCUGGCGGCGUGCUUAACACAUGCAAGUCGAACGGAAAGGCCCCUUUGGGGGUACUCGGGUGGCGAACGGGUGAGUAACACGUGAGUAACCUGCCCUUGACUUCGGGAUAACUUCAGGAAACUGGGGCUAAUACCGGAUAGGAAUCCUUGCUGCAUGGUGGGGGUUGGAAAGCUUCGGCGGUUUUGGAUGGACUCGCGGCUUAUCAGCUUGUUGGUGGGGUAGUGGCUUACCAAGGCUUUGACGGGUAGCCGGCCUGAGAGGGCGACCGGCCACAUUGGGACUGAGAUACGGCCCAGACUCCUACGGGAGGCAGCAGUGGGGAAUAUUGCACAAUGGGCGGAAGCCUGAUGCAGCAACGCCGCGUGCGGGAUGACGGCCUUCGGGUUGUAAACCGCUUUCAGCAGGGGCGAAGCUUGUGGUGACGGUACCUGCAGAAGAAGCACCGGCUAACUACGUG